GAAGAAAUGAAAGACAUAUGAAAUGACCCUAAGACAGAGAUUCCUGAGCAUAAGUCAUUCAUAUGACCAACUUUUCUAACUUCUCUCUAUAACAGAGGUAAGUGAAGGCCUCACCUUUUCACUCUCACUUCUCUUUGUGAACUUCAUUCCUACUUUUCAGAAUUGUUUUUACCCUUGUUAUAAGCCUCUAGCAAAGUUAAAUACUAUCUGAUCUUCUAUCUACCAAGCUUGCUCGAGUGAAGAACGAAAAUCAAUCACUGUACUAAAGUGAUAAUUAUUAGGAGUUGGUCCUUUUAGCCAAAAUGCCUCUGUUAUCUUUAGGUUGUUUAGGUAGUGGUAGUACUGAAAAUGAAAUAGAAUUAGAAAUACUUUUCAAGAAGAUAAAUGAUUGGAAACUUCCGAGAGUCCCAAUUAAUCAAAUUUACAAGCAAAGAUUUUCAUUCUUCAAAAGUACUCAUGACCACACCAUAGGCACCAUAGAACAAACAAUCAACAUAUCCAAAGAGCAAGAAACUAUUCAACUUCUUUCAAAGAGUCGAUUUGAAUUUCUGAGAAGAAAAUUCAGUCAUCUCCACUUAGGGUUGGUCCAAGUUGCUAUCAAACCAAUGUCACAAGAAAGUCUGAGCACUUCUGUCCUAAUGAGUCUUAGAGAUUGUAGGUACCUAAAUUUCAAGCGAUCUCUGUUGAGAGGUGUGGAGACCAAUCUUUGUAAUGGACCAGUAUAUUUCGAUUAUUAUCCAAACUAUAUUGUGUCAUUAGGGGAUCCACCCCUUGAAGUCUUGACUCUCAAUAUCAAAACUGGAUCUUUACCUGUGGCAUUGAUAUAUAGAGUUAUUUACAAGGUCAUAACAACUGAAGAACUAAAUGAAAUACGUUGGCUUCUUAAUGCUGGAUUAAUAAGUGAGGUUGGAUUAAAAACGAGUACUUAUGAAUUAGCAGAGGUAAUGCAUGUAGAUCUAACUAGAUCUAGGAAACCGAAGCCAAGAAUCAUUCGACUCGAACAAGUUAAUUUUCCAGAGAGUUGGAAAGGUACGUGAUCAAGAAGGGUGUGCAGAAAACGAAGAAAACUUGGGUGAGAAUUGAACACUAUUAAUGAAUGUGCAUCUCGUCAUCUACGUACCUUUAAGUUGAUCCCUAUUUGUCUUCAUAGCUAAUUUAUUAGUACGUUAAAGUAUGUAAGAUAUUCUAAGUUUUAUGCUCAACUAAAUUGUAGUAUUUUUAUGUAUUAUGUAUGACAUUAUAAGGCAUUGAUUUGAAAUGAAUGAUAUGCUAAACUCUCUUAUAA
Cannabis sativa is the source of this 1285-nucleotide long non-coding RNA. RefSeq lists it as uncharacterized. Lineage: Eukaryota; Viridiplantae; Streptophyta; Magnoliopsida; Rosales; Cannabaceae. The transcript has 2 exons. The record is from RefSeq and is a predicted model, not a curated record.